RNAcentral lists this non-coding RNA (109 nucleotides) under Haptolina brevifila. The record is from RNAcentral. Lineage: Eukaryota; Haptophyta; Prymnesiales; Prymnesiaceae.
GCCAGGCGUGUGCGCCCAGUUUGCUCGCGUGCUUGGUGCCAAUGAGAACGACAUCACCGCAUUCAACUGUGCGCACUGUGGCAAGCCAGCAACAGAGCACGCCGACCUC